Molecule: ribosomal RNA, 402 nt
Filed under: Fusobacteriota bacterium
Lineage: Bacteria; Fusobacteriati; Fusobacteriota
Description: Fusobacteria bacterium partial 16S ribosomal RNA
Rfam family: Bacterial small subunit ribosomal RNA
Source: RNAcentral
UGGGGAAUAUUGCACAAUGGAGGGAACUCUGAUGCAGCGACGCCGCGUGAACGAAGAAGGCUUUCGAGUCGUAAAGUUCUUUUAUAUGGGAAGAUAAUGACGGUACCAUAAGAAAAAGCCCCGGCAAACUACGUGCCAGCAGCCGCGGUAAUACGUAGGGGGCUAGCGUUGUGCGGAAUCACUGGGCGUAAAGGGUUCGCAGGCGGAAAGGCAAGUCAGGUGUAAAAGGCGGUAGCUUAACUACUGUAAGCAUGUGAAUCUGCUUAUCUUGGGAAGAGUAGGGGUAAGUGGAAUUUAUAGUGUAACGGUGAAAUGCGUAGAUAUUAAAAGAAUACCGGGGGCGAAGGCGACUUACUGUGCUCAUUCUGGCGCUGAGGAACGAAAGCGUGGGUAGCAAACAGG